CCCUUAGAUGUUCUGGGCAGCACGCGCGCUACAAUGGUCUUCGCAAACGGAUGCAUUCUCGAAGGAGAAUGCCAAUCUUGGAAUCUAUGCCUUGGUCGGGACAGUUGCUUGCAAUUUUUCGACUCGAACCAGGAAUUCCUUGUAAUCGUGAUUCAUCACAUCACGAUGAAUACGUCCCUGCCCUUUGUACACACCGCCCGUCGCUCCUACCGAUCGAAGAGUUAGGUGAAUUGUUUUGAUCGAUAAGAUUUGACUAUGGUCAACUCUCGUUGUGAAAUUCUGUGAAUCUUACUGUUUAGAGGAAGGAAAAGUCGUAACA
RNAcentral lists this ribosomal RNA (319 nucleotides) under uncultured eukaryote. Its description in RNAcentral is "partial 18S ribosomal RNA". It matches the Rfam family "Eukaryotic small subunit ribosomal RNA", at positions 1470 to 1796 of the family's 1831-position model. The record is from RNAcentral.